RNAcentral lists this ribosomal RNA (253 nucleotides) under uncultured bacterium. Its description in RNAcentral is "partial 16S ribosomal RNA". It matches the Rfam family "Bacterial small subunit ribosomal RNA", at positions 524 to 776 of the family's 1533-position model. The record is from RNAcentral.
UACGGGGGGAGCAAGCGUUGUUCGGAAUCACUGGGCGUAAAGGGCGUGCAGGCGGUCAGGUAAGUGGGAUGUGAAAUGCCCCGGCUCACCCGGGGACCGGCAUCUCAUACUGCUUGGCUUGAGUACGGGAGAGGAUGUGGGAAUUCCUGGUGUAGCGGUGAAAUGCGUAGAUAUCAGGAGGAACACCGGUGGCGAAGGCGCACAUCUGGCCCGAUACUGACGCUGAGGCGCGAAAGCUAGGGGAGCAAACGGG